RNAcentral lists this non-coding RNA (23 nucleotides) under Arabidopsis thaliana (thale cress). The record is from RNAcentral. Lineage: Eukaryota; Viridiplantae; Streptophyta; Magnoliopsida; Brassicales; Brassicaceae.
AAAGGUAAAGAGAUGAUGUGCUU